AACUCGGCGUUUAGAUCGCGUGAUUUGCGUGAUCCUGCACUUGCUAAGCAAAUGAGGCUGAGAUGAAUGGGAAUGUCCAAGGUAUCAGCCGACCCUCCUCCUCUCUCCCGCCUCGGUCUCUGUUAAACAGAAUGCUGCUACAGUACUUCGUUGGCAGUGCCAACAGCUGAGGUCUGCUUCCUGAGUUUCCCUCCAGCCUGAGAGAGUUACAGGAACAGAAAGGAAGUGUGUGUUUGUGUGAAGGCAAGGGACAGUGUGUAAUGUACGUUUGUUAGAGAGAGCACAAGAAAAGAGAGAGAGAGAGAGAGACUAAGGAAUGCUGUGAUGUCACCAGUUAAGUCACACACAAAGGCAAGAAGGACACACAAGCACUCACUCUCCCUCUUAGUAAAGUCUGCCGUGGAGCGUUCGCACCCAGCUCGUGUCCCGUUUAUGGCUGCUAAUUAGUGAUGAGAGCUUGUGUGUGGUGAACGGACCGAGCUGGGCUUCAUCAUCUUUACCACCAUCUUCCUCGUUCUGAAGGACUGUUGCUGAAUCUCAGGAUAUAAUCAGGUGAACCACACACACGGCCAUGCUGCAGCAGAUCUUGAACGACAUGUACAUCGACCCGGAUGUGCUGGACGGUCUGAACGACGAGCAGAAGAAGACGCUCUUCCUGAAGAUGCGUGAGGAGCAGGUGCGACGCUGGAAGGAGCGAGAGGAGAAGCUGGAGAGGGAACCGCUCAAACCCAAACCAA
Molecule: long non-coding RNA, 737 nt
Organism: Sinocyclocheilus grahami
Lineage: Eukaryota; Metazoa; Chordata; Actinopteri; Cypriniformes; Cyprinidae
Exons: 3
Source: RefSeq, a predicted model, not a curated record